CAGCCGCCGCGGGAAUACGGAGGGGGCUAGCGUUGUUCGGAAUUACUGGGCGUAAAGCGCACGUAGGCUGCUUUGUAAGUCAGAGGUGAAAGCCCGGGGCUCAACCCCGGAUGUGCUUUUGAGACUGCAGGGCUAGAACGUCGGAGAGGUGAGUGGAAUUCCGAGUGUAGAGGUGAAAUUCGUAGAUAUUCGGAAGAACACCAGUGGCGAAGGCGGCUCACUGGACGACUGUUGACGCUGAGGUGCGAAAGCGUGGGGAGCAAACAGGAUUAGAUACCCGUGUAGUCCCUGUCUCUUAUAC
RNAcentral lists this ribosomal RNA (301 nucleotides) under uncultured bacterium. RNAcentral describes it as "partial 16S ribosomal RNA". It matches the Rfam family "Bacterial small subunit ribosomal RNA", at positions 509 to 807 of the family's 1533-position model. The record is from RNAcentral.